This 253-nucleotide ribosomal RNA is filed under the name uncultured bacterium. RNAcentral's name for it is "partial 16S ribosomal RNA". It matches the Rfam family "Bacterial small subunit ribosomal RNA", at positions 524 to 776 of the family's 1533-position model. The record is from RNAcentral.
UACGUAGGGACCGAACGUUGUCCGGAAUCAUUGGGCGUAAAGAGCGUGUAGGCGGCCACUUAAGUCCUGCGUGAAAUCUUGCGGCUCAACCGCAAGCGGUCGUGGGAAACUGGGUGGCUAGAGUGCGGGAGAGGAGAGUGGAAUUCCUGGUGUAGCGGUGGAAUGCGCAGAUAUCAGGAAGAACACCCGUGGCGAAGGCGGCUCUCUGGAACGCAACUGACGCUGAGACGCGAAAGCGUGGGUAGCAAACAGG